RNAcentral lists this non-coding RNA (29 nucleotides) under Homo sapiens (human). The record is from RNAcentral. Lineage: Eukaryota; Metazoa; Chordata; Mammalia; Primates; Hominidae.
UAGAAAGAGGACAUGGUAACCAUAUUGAC